GAAGCACGCCAGACUGCCGCUGGUGCAAGGGUGGAAACACCGCACUGGAGGAAGGUCCGGACUGCAUAGGGCAGCGUAGCAGCUAACAGCUGUCCACCGUGAGGUGAGGAUCAGAGCUACAGAGACGAGCCGGUUAAGUCCGGGUGAAACGAGCAAUCUCUACGCGCAGCAAUACCAAGUAGGCACACGUUGACGGGGCCCCCGGAGUGUGCGGGUAGGUAGCAUCGAGCCGUCUGGUGACAGGCGGCCCAGAGUAAUGGCGGUCACGCCGGGGGAAACCCCGGCGCACAGAAUCCGGCUUACAGGUGGGCUUCACAC
RNAcentral lists this RNase P RNA (318 nucleotides) under Polaromonas sp. Its description in RNAcentral is "RNase P RNA component class A". It matches the Rfam family "Bacterial RNase P class A". Rfam says of the family: Ribonuclease P (RNase P) is a ubiquitous endoribonuclease, found in archaea, bacteria and eukarya as well as chloroplasts and mitochondria. Its best characterised activity is the generation of mature 5'-ends of tRNAs by cleaving the 5'-leader elements of precursor-tRNAs. Cellular RNase Ps are ribonucleoproteins. Lineage: Bacteria; Pseudomonadati; Pseudomonadota; Betaproteobacteria; Burkholderiales; Comamonadaceae. The record is from RNAcentral.